GGAGGUUUAGGUUGAAUGUCAGGAAAAGUUUCUUCACCCAGAGGGUGGCUGGGCACUGGAACAGGCUCCCCAGGGAAGUGGUCAUAGCACCAAGCCUGACAGAAUUAAAGAGUUUGGACAGUGCUCUCAGGCACCUGGUGUGACUCUUGUGUUCUGUGUAGGGCCAGGAGUUAGACUUGAUGUUCCUUGUAGGUCCCUUCCACCUCAGGACAUUUUUUGAUUCCAUGACUCUGCCUGAGCUCUGCUCUGUAAGGUUAGUUGGAAUUCACACACUAAACAGAGUUUGUUUUGAAGGCUCUGCUCCUGUAGUCAAUCUUGUUGUGACAACACCUAGAAUCAAGUCCUUGAGAAGUACAAGAAAAGGAGGCUGUUUGCUGGCAUAGACCUCUGCUCUAAGGACACUUGACCAAGGAACAAGAAAAAUCUAUUCAGAAAUCCAUCACCAUGGCACUGGAGGAGUCAAACUCCUACUUCUCAUCUAGUCUUGUGGAAGGCACUCUUAAGGUGCUACUGCUGUACAUGUAGCUGUGCAGGAGGAAAAUAGUAAAAUCCCUAACAGCAGAGUGUGUGAGUUAUUCUGAAGGUGUUUACACUUAUUGCCUUGCUGCUCACACAAAAUGGAGUUCUCAGCAGCAACAAAUAAAACAAAUGCCACUUUUUAUUGUAUUGCUGAGGCACAUCCUAUUUCAGCAAAAGGUAGAAUAUUCACAGCUAAACAAUGAUGCAAUUUGAAGAUUCUGGCUCUAAUCAGAUGAAUUGCUAAAAUCCAGGCAGAUUUUGCAAUGAAAGAUGUGACUAAUUUGAUGUGGAAUAGUAGUACCACUGUUUUGA
Vidua chalybeata is the source of this 831-nucleotide long non-coding RNA. RefSeq lists it as uncharacterized. The record is from RefSeq and is a predicted model, not a curated record. The transcript is spliced from 3 exons. NCBI's taxonomy places the organism in Eukaryota, Metazoa, Chordata, Aves, Passeriformes, Viduidae.